CUCGGGGUUAUCUUCCCCAUCUGACCUCAGUGAGUCUGACCCGGAGACGGGAAGGAAAAGGAAACGGAAAAGUUCCAGAGGCUUUCGGCAAUGAAAAGCCUACAUUUUUCUAAACAACUCUCCGAAAACUGCUUUUAGCAGGUGGAAAUAUUGACAUCUUUUGGAUACGACCAGUAAAAAAAAAACCUUUAAAUCAUAGGAUGUUUUCUCUUUCUGUGGCUUCGUUUUCUCCUGUUACUACAGCCAGACAUCCUCCGCUACUCCCAUUUGGCUUAAGACAACCAAGAUACCAGCAGAGAGCAGGAAAGUUGGCCUGGGUUCCCAAGCGCCCUCUAGGCAGUAAGCAUCUUAGUUU
RNAcentral lists this long non-coding RNA (355 nucleotides) under Rattus norvegicus (Norway rat). RNAcentral describes it as "long non-coding RNA NONRATT004965". The record is from RNAcentral. Lineage: Eukaryota; Metazoa; Chordata; Mammalia; Rodentia; Muridae.